RNAcentral lists this long non-coding RNA (4270 nucleotides) under Aquilegia coerulea. RNAcentral's name for it is "long non-coding RNA (ACOE_LNC001211)". The record is from RNAcentral. Lineage: Eukaryota; Viridiplantae; Streptophyta; Magnoliopsida; Ranunculales; Ranunculaceae.
AACACUAAAACAGUGUGAAGCAAGCAAAGCAACAGUGUUAUAAAUUGUUGUUGCGAAGAUCUCGUUUUCUCUCUGUAGUCUCUUUGCUUUCUUUCCUUCUUUACUGGUGAGUUUUUUUCUUACAUUUAAAAAACGCUCUUUAUAUCUCACUAUACUCUGCUUUAGAUCUUGAUAUUUAGCUCAUUUGAAGAAUUGGGUAUCUUCCAGAUCUGACAAAAAACGUCAGAACUGGUUGAAAAUGGGAUUUUUAGAUCAAUUUAAGAUAUGGGUAUUGAUUAUUUCUUGUUUAUUUCUUCAAUCUGGAAAUGGGUUUUAUUUACCUGGAAGUUAUCCUCACAAAUAUGAACAUGGUGAUUCAUUAUUUGUGAAAGUGAACUCUCUUACUUCUAUUGAUACUGAAAUACCUUAUAGUUAUUACAGUCUUCCUUUUUGUAAACCAUUGGAAGGUAUUAAGGAUAGUGCUGAAAAUCUUGGUGAGCUUUUAAUGGGUGAUAGGAUUGAGAAUUCGCCUUAUAAAUUUAAAAUGUAUACUAAUGAGAGUGAUCUGUUUCUGUGUCGAUCUGAUCCAUUAACGGCGGAUGAUUUUAAAAUGCUUACGAAAAGGAUUGAUGAAAUGUAUCAGGUUAAUUUGAUACUUGAGAAUUUACCAGCAAUUAGGUAUACUAAGAAAGAAGGAUAUUAUCUUAGAUGGACUGGUUAUCCGGUUGGAAUUAAGGUUCAAGAUGUGUAUUAUGUGUUUAAUCAUUUGAAGUUUAAGGUUCUGGUUCAUAAGUAUGAGGAACCUAAUGUGGCUCGAGUGAUGGGUACUGGAGACGUCCCUGAUGUGAUUCCUAAUAAAGUAAAAGGUGGUUCUGAUGUUCCUGGGUACAUGGUUGUGGGAUUUGAGGUUGUUCCCUGCAGCUUCCAGCAUGAUCCCAAUUCAGUAAAGAACAUGAAAAUGUAUGAAAACUAUCAGGCGGGUAUUAAGUGUGACCCAACAACUGUCGCAAUGGCUGUUAAGGAAGGGCAGCCUUUGGUGUUCACCUAUGAGGUCUCGUUUGAGGAGAGUGAUAUCAAGUGGCCAUCAAGGUGGGAUGCCUACUUGAAAAUGGAGGGGGCAAAGGUCCAUUGGUUUUCGAUUCUGAAUUCUGUUAUGGUGAUCACUUUCCUUGCUGGAAUUGUCCUUGUGAUCUUUUUGAGGACUGUGAGGAGGGACCUGACUCGGUAUGAAGAGCUCGACAAGGAGGCUCAGGCACAGAUGAAUGAGGAGUUAUCUGGAUGGAAACUUGUUGUUGGGGAUGUGUUCAGGGCUCCAACCAAUGCAAAACUCUUGUGUAUAAUGGUUGGGAAUGGGGUUCAGAUACUUGGUAUGGCAGUGGUGACCAUUUUAUUUGCUGCCCUAGGUUUCAUGUCACCGGCAUCUCGUGGGACCCUUAUCACUGGAAUGCUUUUCAUCUACUUGGUGCUCGGAAUUGCGGCUGGAUAUGUUGCUGUUCGGAUGUGGAGAACGAUUUGUUGUGGUGUAAUCACAGGAUGGGUUUCAGUUUCUUGGAGAGCUGCCUGCUUCUUCCCUGGUAUAGCUUUUCUGAUACUAACUGUUUUAAACUUCCUCCUUUGGGGAAGUCACAGUACUGGGGCCAUUCCAUUCUCUCUGUUUGUUGUCCUGCUCUUGCUAUGGUUCUGCAUUUCUGUGCCUCUUACCCUCAUAGGUGGAUACCUUGGCGCCAAGGCACCCCAUAUUGAGUACCCAGUUCGAACCAAUCAAAUCCCUCGUGAAGUCCCAGCACAAAAAUACCCAUCUUGGUUGCUGGUUCUUGGAGCUGGGACUCUUCCAUUUGGGACCCUCUUCAUUGAGCUCUUUUUCAUAAUGUCAAGCAUUUGGAUGGGCCGUGUUUACUACGUUUUUGGGUUCACGUUCAUCGUUCUAAUUCUCUUGGUUGUGGUUUGUGCUGAAGUAUCUUUGGUCCUCACAUACAUGCACUUGUGUGUGGAAGACUGGAGGUGGUGGUGGAAAUCUUUCUUCGCUUCUGGCUCAGUUGCCAUCUACAUCUUUUUGUAUUCGAUAAACUAUCUUGUAUUUGAUCUUAAGAAUCUGAGCGGCCCUGUAUCUGCAACACUUUACCUUGGUUACUCACUCUUCAUGGUGCUAGCUAUCAUGCUUGCCACUGGAACAGUGGGGUUCCUUUCUUCAUUUUGGUUCGUGCAUUAUCUGUUCUCUUCAGUAAAGCUAGAUUAAACUUGUGCUGCUUGAUGAGACAUCCUUGGCAGAGAAAGAUUGGAGAUCCAUUUGUUAUUUGCUCACCUGUGUUUGGUUACUUGAAAUGUUUUCAAUGUUGUUAAAGGUAGUAACACCUCGACCAUUUUUCUUAAAUAUGUUAGAUCCAUUGUAGGAGAUAAGAGACGCAGUAGUUUUUGAAGUUUGUGUAUCUGGCUAGUGAGAGGAAAUAUUAUAUGAACCUUUAAAUUCAUGUAUCCUGAUAUUUGAUGUUUAAGUCUACACUUUCCUUCAUACAAUCAUACAUUUCUGUGAGUCUCCAUUGCAGGGACACGUUUAUGUGAUUGUGUGAUAAAAUGUAUUCUUUCUAUUUAUCUUUUCUUAGUUUAAAAGUUUUGCAUCUGGAAGUUGACAAUGAAAGAUACAAUAUCUACUGUAAGUUGGAUUAUGCCCACACCCAGCAUACCUCCAUUCCUGUCACAAAUUUAUAUGUUAUCUCUGACACCAUAUAUAUAUGAACUAUGAAGCAUACUAUAAUGAUGGUUGGGGACUGGUUUACGCCUUGACUUUUCCCAUAAUCCCGUUUUAACAAUGUGCUCAUAUUUCUUGAUCUUAACAUUAACAACCAUAUAGUAUUCUCAUUGGCACAGUCUGGCUUCUGAUGGAAAACCCCAUUUUCUUUGUAGUGAUAAAGCACUUUCACCCUUCCACGUUAAGCUACCCUAUUUAAUUUUUGUCAAUCAUAGAACAUGACCAUGUUCCAUACUGAGAAAAUGAAGUUACUUGAAGAAGACUAUUUGAUUGGUAAAGAUGUUAACAUCAUUUUAUAUUAUUAAGUUGUAAUGUGGUUCUAGAUCUAGUGAUUUAUUAACAACCCUUGUAAUUGCAAUCAGACCUAACUCUUAAAACCACCUCCAAUUGACAAUCUCUUUGGCCAACUUCCACUAUUAGACCAGAUAGCUUCAAGCAUUGCUGCCAAAACUGGUGGAGCCUGGUGUGCUACUAAUGUAUAUACUAUAUACUGUAUGUUCUAUGUAAGAUGUACUCUGGUGCCUGGUGGUAUACACUGGUAUGUAUCGUUGGCUGACUCGAAGAAAUGCAUGUGUGCCGAGACCAACAUAUAUAAACCCCAUUAUGGGGUGUUUUAAAUCGCGAGGUCUGGCAUGCAGCUUGACCUACAUUGUACCAGUCAUAGCCAAAGGAUUUUUCUAAAUUUUAUUGAUUAAUCGGAGUGUGUAUGAUUAUAUCGAAUUGAUUGCUAUCGAUUUUUGUCUUAUUAAGAUACAAUGUGAUUAUUGUUUGAUUUAAAAACAUUAUUAUAAAGAUCACAUAUUAAAUAAUUUCAAAUUUUGCAUAUCUAUACAAAAUUCUCAAAUAUUUCAUCCUAAAAAACAUGAAGUGAUGAAUUGAAAGUCUGAAAGAUCAGAAGUUUUGUCUACCAAUGAAUUGGACUUGGAUCCAAGUUUUUAAAGCCCACAAUAAAGCCCAUGAAAUGAAAUUGGUUAAACAAAGUCAAUAUGUAUUGCUGAAGUUUCUCGGGAAAGCUGAAAGGUAUAUAAAGCUCUAUAAGACGUUUCUUUCGAUUGAUCCGUCUUCAUUGUUCUUCACACAGAGAGAGAGAGAGAAAGAGAGAAAUCUUUCAUCUUUCAUCACUCACCAUUGAUUGUCUCUGUUUUAAUCUCUUUAACAGGUCAGUUGUUGAAUCAUUUAAUCCUUCAUUCUCUUGAAAACGAUUUUUUUUUUUUGGAGUUGUUUUGGUGUUUUUUCAUACUAGUUUGAACAAAAUCAUUUUAUUUUGAUCUAGAUCUAUUGAAUAAUAGUUUUAAGACAAAACCCAUAUUGGAAAUCCAAAGAUCUUGGGUUUUUAAGGUUUUUUAAGAUUUUGGGUGUUCUUCAGAUCUGUGAAAAAAAAAAAAAACAUUGGUGAUUCGUGAUUGGUUCAUGAUGAGGUUUUUAGGUAAGAUUGGGAUUUGGGUUUUGUUUUGUUGUUUGGUUAUUCAAUCUGGAGUUGAUGGGUUUUAUUUACCUGGAAGUUAUCCUCAUAAAUAUGAAGUAGGUGAUUCGUUAUAUGUGAAA